GCUUUAUAAAGAUUUCUGCUUGCGAUUACUGACAACUUCAUCAACGUCUCAAAAAUCUUCUCGCCCUCCAGGUAACUGCUACCAAAAGCUGUUCUGGAUAUCACUUCUGAAGUCAAUAAUCUAAAUUCCUGGAACACUUCGAUCUCCUUCCCUUCCUGGCCUUUCCACUUCUGUAGCAUUGUUUCAACGCUAGCAAUUACUGCUGGAGUCAUGUUCUGCCAAAACCAUCCUCCACUUUGUAAGUAUCACUACUGGAAGAUCACCAAAAUUUUAGUUUGCAAAUGUUCCAAGUACAAUAAAUAAUUCAAUCACCAAGCCUAUGACAGCAAAAACUUAUAGUACAGUGGUUUUCAUAGGAAGUUUUACUUUCAAGCUCUCCCCAUGAAAAGCAUAAUUGGCCAAUUUCCUUUGCCUUGCCCAUUUUUCUCUUACGGUCGUAGCAAGCCCGUCCCCCAGUAUCUUGCUAAGGAAAUAUGUAACUUUCCUCUUUGGAAAAGCUUUUUCACUAUUUUUCAGCACCUCUUUGAUGAGAUCUGGUUCUGUAAUUACCAGCAGAGCUCGAACUCCAUUCCAACUAAGAUAAAUUUUCCCUAAUCAAAGAACACAGAAAAAAAGAGAGUUAAAUCUCUUCCUGGAAGCAGAACUUAGAAAUCCUAGCGGAAAAUGACAUCAUGUCUCACCAUAUGUGUUGAUGCAGGAGUAAAUAUGAGGCAGCACUCUGGGAAAUAUAUCAUGUGUCAAGGCCAUAGGUUUGCUUGAUGCUUCCCUUAUACUUUCGACAACUGCUUUGUUGUUUCCAUGGAUAAACUCAUACGGAGGUCCUUUAAUUCCCUGUGACCUCAGUAUAUUCUGUAUCCGGUGGGGAAUCCACCAGUAGUUGUAGAAGGCCUUGAGCAGAGCUCGGAGGAAGUAAAGGAAGAAUGAACCUGCGACAAGGAUUAAAAGCUUUCCCAUGGAGUUCAUUUCUUUCUCUUAUCCACUACAUUUGAGGUGUUGUGGUUCUUUGCUUUUAUGCACGUUUAGGGCUGAAGGCAUUUUGCUUAUAUGUAAAAGCCGGCUUUUCAUUUGGUGCGAUUUAGAAUUGGUCAAAAGAACAAUCUAGUCCAUGUAAUCUCUAACUGUAUCCAAUUUAAUCCCGAUACUCAAAAUUAAAAUAAUUUAGUCCUUUAAUUUUAAAAAUUUAGUCCCUCUUUUUAAAAAAAUUUAAUUUUACCGUUAAAGAGGAUGAUGUCGAUGAUAACGUGACACAUUUUGAUGAUAUGGAGUUGAAAUGAUGGCGUGGCAUACCAUGUGGCAUCGACAUGAUGACGUGACAAUAUCACAUGGCAUCGACAUGAUAACAUGACAAUGUCACGUGAUACUAAUAUGAUGACGUGGUAAUGACAUGUUGACAUGUCAACUUUACGUGGUAGAUCAAAAAAAUUUUCAAAAUAAAAAAUUUUACCAUGUCAUAAAGAUUAAAUUGAAAAAAAAUAUAUAUAGUACAGAGACUAAAUUGAACAAAAUUAAGAUGAUGAAGGACUACAUUGAAAAAAAUAUUUGAAAAAUAUAAAUCUUUAAGUAGAUUAUUGAUAUACUUAUUAAUAAGCCAAAUAUUUUAGCGUAAAAGAUUUAUGGUGUUAAAAAAUAUAUAUAAAUAUUUUCUUACUUCAUUAUUUGAUUCUAGAAUGUAUACAUUAAUUUAUUUAUUUUUUACAAAAAUUAAGUUUGAAUUCUUCUUGUGUAAAAAAAAAUUUGAAAAAAUUUCAUACCUAAAGUCAAAUUUCGAUGAAUAACUUGCAUUAUGUUAUUACAAAAUAAUAUAAAAUGACUAAAUAAAAUUUUUUCUUCUAUUUAUAAUAGUAUAAAAAUUUGAAAUUUAUUUAACUUAGUUUUUAACGUGAAGUGAACUCAAAUUAGCAAAAUAUGUUGAUUUAGUAAAAAAAAUGAAGAACGAAGAUAUGGAGUUAGUGAUGAUUAUAAAAAUAAUUUCUUAUUCUAACUUACUUAAUUUGGACAUGACAAAUCUCUUAUUAUAACCAUAGAAUUUGAGCUCCACCUUUUUAAUUUUUUAUUUAUUUUUUAUUUCUUUGUUUUGUUUAAUAUUUCAAGUUAUAUUUUUUAAGUUGAAAUUUCCUAGAUUAAAGAUUAGGGGUGAGCAAAUGGGUGGAUUGAGUGGUUUAGUCCACCAUAUCUAAGGACCAAAUGGACCAAUCAUUUUUAAAAAAUCAAUCAAAAUCGACCAAAUAUAAUGGAAGGUUAAACCGACAAAAUAUAGAAUUGGUUUGGUUGGUUCGGUUUUGAACCAAUAGACCAAAAUUUUAUCACAUUUUUUUUUUACAAAUUAUAAUAUUAAAACUUAUAAACUUCAUUCAUAAUUAUAUAUAUAUGAAAUUAAUGAUAAAACUUAUAUGUUAUAAUAUUUUAUAUCAAAGUUUGUAUAAAUAAUAACAAUUAUGAACUAUAUGUUAUAAAAUCUAAGGUGAUAGCUAAUAAGCUUAUUAAGUGUAAUCGUAUAAAUAAAGUUUAUUAUAAGUUAUAGUAAUGCUUAUGUAUAAAUUAAAUAUAUAUAAUAUAUUACAUUAUUAUAUAUAUAAUUAAUGAUACAAAUUUUAUGUUAAAAUAUUUUAUAUAAUCAUAUAAAUAAAGUAUAUUAUAAGUUAUAGUAAUACUUAUGUAUAAAUUAAAUAUAUGUAUAUAUAAUAUAUGACUUUAUUAUAUAUAUGCAUAUACAAAAUUAAUGACAUAAUUUAUAUGUUAUAAUGUUUUAUAUGAAAGUUUGUAUAAAUAAUAACUAAUUAUAAACAAUAGGUUAUAAAAUCUAAGGUGAUAACUAAUAAAGUUAUUAAAUAUAAUCAUACAAAUAAAGUUUAUUAUAAAUUAUAGUAAUGCUUAUGUAUAUGUAUAUAUAAUAUAUCUAUACAGUUAUCUAUAUAGUUAUAUAUAUAUAUAUAUAUAUAUAUAUAUAUAUAUUCAUACCACUUUAUAUUACGACAUAUUACUAAGGUUUAAUAAUUAUAAUAUAUUAAUAUGUAGGAUAUUUACUAUUAUAUAUUAUAAUAUUAACAUAUAACUUAUAUUAUUUAAAAUAUAUAACUUGUAAUUUCAUAUUCAUAUAAAUUUAUAAAUAAAUAUAUAUGACUAAUAUUAAAUUACUAUGAUUAUGAUUUGUAUACGUACAUAUAAUACUCUAAUAUAUUUUAAAUAUAUUAUUAAUUAAGUUUACUAUCAAUUUUUUUAAUAUAUAAAAAAUAUAUAUGACUAUAUAUACAAAUAUAUAAAAAAUUAAUUUGGUUUUUUGUGUGGAUUGGUUUAAAAAUUUUAAAAUCGAGAACCGACCAAAUAACCAAUUGGACCAAAUAUUUUGGACCAAUUGAUUCAAUGGACUAAUUAGACUGAAUUAUUUUACUCAAAUCGCAUUUGGUUUGGAUAGGUAAUUGGUCUGGAUUGGUUUUGCUAACCUUUAUUAAAGAAUAUAUUUAUUGUUGAUAAAGUUCAAUAUAAUUGUAAAUAUUUGUACCAUUUUAUUUUAUUAAUAAAUUUUUUGUAGAUCCAAAUUAAUAAUUUAAAUAUAAAUUUAGCAUAAUUUGAUUGUGGUAUUUGAACUUAAAUAAAAUUGUUUUAUAAGAAAUUUUAAAUAAAUUUAAAUAAAAGGUACAUUAGGUAAGAGUUGAAUAAUUUCAUAAAAAAUGGGUAUUUAUAAAUUGUAAAAGUUGUAACUAAAUCAAUGUAUUUUGUUAAUUUGAGUUUAGCUUAAGUUAAAAACUAAGUUAAAUAAAUUUCAAAUUUUUAUACUAUUAUAACUAGAAAAAAAAAGAAUUUAUUUAGUUAUUUUAUAUUAUUUUAUUAUAAUAUAAUGUAAGUUAUUCAUCUAAAUUUGACUUUAGGUAUGAAAUUAUUUUGAAAUUUUUUUUUAGAAGGAGAAUUCUAACUUAAUUUUUGUAAAAAAUAUAAAUUAAUAUAAAUAUUCUAUAAUCAAAUAAUCAAGAAAGAAAAUAUUUAUAUAUACUUUUUAAUACCAUAAAUCUGUUACACUUAAAUAUUUAGCUUAUUAAUAAAUAUAUCAAUAAUCUACUUAGAUAUUUGUAUUGUUUAAAUAUUUUUUUUCAAUUUAGUCCCUCAACAUCUUAAUUUGUUCAAUUUAAUACCUAUACUAUAUAUUUUUGUUCAAUUUAAUCCCUAUAACGUGGCAAGAUUUUUAUUUUAAAAUUUUUUUUGAUCUGUCACGUGGCACAAGCAUGCUAACAUAUCAAUGCCAUGUCAUCAUAUUAGUGCCACGAGGCAUUGCCACAUCAUUACGUCGGCGCCACGUGGUAUUCCACAUCAUCAUCUCAAUGCAUCAGCACUAAAAUGUGCCGAAAUGUGCCAUAUUAGUGCUGAUGUCAUCUUUUUUAAUGACAAAAUUAGAUACCGUUAGGGAGAGAGAUUAAAUUAAAGAAAUUUUCAAAAUUAAAGAACUAAAUUGCUUCGAUUUUAAGUAUAGAAAUCAAAUUGAACAAAAUUGAAAAGUACAAGAAUUGAAUAGGUCUUUUGACUAUUUGAAAUUAUUGCCUUCAAAAAAUACACCCACUUUUUAAGUAAAGGGCUUAACAAUUCAACUACAAAUAUUCAUGGCAUGCUAUACAUAAUGCCUAAUGCCUCACUCUUAUGACUCUUAUUGAAUAAUUGUGACGCAAUAAUAGUAGGUGAUGUACUCUCUUAUCUCGCAAGUCAUGUUAUGCCAAUCACUAAACUGCAGAUUAUAUUGGAUUCAACUUAGCAACAAUUUUGGCAUUUAUAUGAUCAAUGAAAUAAAUAAAGAUUAAUUAUAAUUAACAAUUAGGGUUCUUCAUCCUAUGAACAGGAAAAAAAAGGUGUAAUAAUCACUUCAUAUCAUGCAUUAAUAUGAACAAUAAUGAACUCAACUUGAUAAAAUUUGGUUUUAAUAGAUGUUAAGCUUUGAUUUAGAGUUCACUGGGUAAUAGGUGGUAUAUACAUUAGGACUUUCUGUUUUUUUUUCUUUUUUUUGGGGGGGGACACCUUGUAUUAAUUCAUUCAAAUUUUUUUUGAAAGGUAUUAAGUCAUUCAAUUUUAACUACUCAUUGUAAGAAUUCAAAAGGGAUAAGGACCUCCAAGUGGGGCUUUUUACUUUAGUCAAAGACUGCUGCAAAACGUGAUAAGAAUUUUACAUGUUCAAGACUAUUUUCCAUAGGUUUAUUUUAGUCAAAGACUCUUGCACAUCACGUUAUGUAACAUUUCAAAGAAAUAAAUGGUGAGAGUCAACAAGAUUGUGUUAUAUAUAGUCCUCCUGUCCCAUUUUAUUUUUUCUUAUUUGAUUUUCAUGAAAUUUUAAAAAAAUUAAUUUUGAUGUAUUUUAUAUUAAAAUUUCAAAUUGUAUUAUACACGUUAUGUUCCAUGGAUUUUAAUCUCAAAAAAUUUUAAAAAAAUUAUGAAAAAUAAAUUGAAAAUGUAUCUUGUAGUACGUGUAUAACUUUGUCCUAUAAUACAAGCUGUAGUAGAUAUAUAGCCAAAAUCAUUAUCAGUACUCAAUUAUAAAAUCAAUUAAAUUGUCAUAAUCACCCCUUUGCACGGGAAAAGAAAAACGCAAGGAAAGAAGAAAAAAAGUUGCAAUAACCCUGGGAAAAUGUCCUUCAUCAGAUAUAUUAUAUACUUUGCAUUAACAUAAUCUUCUAGUCAUCAUCAUCAAUCAACAUCUGGCUUUUGUUUAUUUUUGGACUGUUUGCAGCUUGCUCUUAUCUUUUCUCACGGUCGGUGGAGCUGGCAAAGCAGACAUUGGCCAGCUACAAUAUGUUAUAUUAGAAGCUUCAGUAUUACUAGGCACUAGACAGUACAUCCUUAUUUCUCACGUCUUACAACUGAUUGGAAGGAUAAAAAACUAAAACCCACCUAAUUUCUCUUGUUUUAUAUUAAAAUGAUUGAUCCUUGUUAAAAAUCAAUCUGAAUUAUCUUUUCUUGUUUUACUCGUUGACCAGAGAUACGCUUACAAAUCAAGUGUGCCUAAUCCUAGAUUUUACUGAAGGGAAGCAAAACAGCAACAAAUGACAUUGAUUAAUGUUAAAUGGCCUAUCUAUAUCUCUUUGUCCAAAUACGCAGCUGCUGCACACUGGCUUCGGCCUUGAUUUGUAAUGAUUGCCUGGACACCUGAGGAAAUUUCAAGGCCUUUGUGCUCUCUAGUUCUUAAAAAAAUUGACCUAGAACGUCCAUAUUCAGACAUUGCAGAAACUUUUGUGCUUGGAAGUUAAUUAUACUCAGGAGAGAUUGAACUGAUAUCAAUAAUAUAUUGUCUGGAUUUAUGUGUUAAAUGCUGCUGAUGUUUUCGGUCAGGAGAGAGCUAGAGCAUUUUCAAAGGGGAGGUCAAACAGAAAGAGAUAUUAAAUAGUUAAAGAGAAUUUUAUAUAUAAUUCAAUUAUUACUUAUCUAAAAAAUUAAAUAAAAUUUAGAAAAUAUUGAACAUAUAAAAAAAUGCAUAUUAGCAGUAAUAGUAGUGUCAUUUAUAUAUAUGACUGAAUGAAACUAUAAAAAAAAUUCUCUUUUACUCUUUAUGCACAAGAGUGGAAAAGAAAAUAAUUUUUCAAACUUAAAUGAAUUGCCUCUUAACUUUGUGUGUCUUAACUCUCAUUUUAUUUUCUAUUUACUUCUUAAAUUGCUAAUUAACAUAUUAAGUUAUUAGAUUAAACUAUUAAAAUAUAAUAUGUUUGUCGUAACGUGCGGGUCCGAGAACCCGUCCGCCAGACGCUGGCGAAAAUAAAUCGGUUUAGGAGUCGCCACCAAUAUUUUUUUUUAUCUAGAUGUGAUUGGUCACCUAUUAACCAGAUUCUAAUCGACAAAGUCCUAAAUUAAUUUUAGGUCCGUCGAAAGAACGAGAACUGAUCUACGUUUUUUAGAGAUAGGUUCGGGAGUGCGGUUACGCACGGAGAAUGGUUAGCACCUCCGUGGCACCCGUUCCACGAACGGUACCAUUUAAUCUUAAGUUAUCCUAUUAUAGCCUACUUUUGAUUUAUUCCCUACUUAUUAACUAAAUUUUUAUUAAACUGACUGCCUGAAUCUUUUAUUUGGUUUUACAUAUGCACGUGAUGCAAGCGUAAAAUGAUGUCAUGACUCGUUUAUUUUAAAUAAUGGGAUCAGUAAUCUUUUAUUGAAAAAUUAUUUGAAGACCAUCCCAACGCUUUGGUGAAGUCUUGAAAUUCUCCUCACCUAGAGAUAUCCUGGGAAGAACUCAUCUUUACAAGCUCUUCGGGGAAAUCCCAUCAUCGGAAUUUUCGCACCAUUUGCAAGAUAAAUGUGGCGUGCUAUGACAGGAUAAAGUGAUGAUGUCUACAUGCACGCGUUUAUUGACUUAAGCGGUUCAUAAUUCAUCCAAUUAUGUGUUUAAUAAUUUAUCACCUUAUUUAUAUAUUUAUUUUGUCAUUUUUUUUCAUGGAUUAUUUAUUUAUUUUAUUAUUAUUAUUAUUUUUUGUUUUUAUUUUCUAUUUAGAUCCAUAUCUUUUAAUUAACAUUGUUGAUUAACAUUUAACUUGAUUAUAUAACUUAUCAAAUAAACAAUUAAUUAAUUUUUUCAAACGAUUAAAUUAACUUUAUUUAGUAAUAUUUAUUUAAGCUAAUUAACUAAUUUAAGUUUGGAUGCAACAUUAUGUAAAUUUAUUUUUUUUUUAACAAUGACUAUUUGACUUAAUAGGUAUUGGAGUUUAGAGUUCGGAUUUAUCCCGACGCUUCAGUGAAAAUCCGUCUCAAACUUCGCACAAAAAAAAAAUCCACUUAAAAAAAGCAACUCUUUGCCUUUCUUAGGUGGAGUUUCUCAAACAAUUAUCUUAUUUUUCUUAUAAUUUUUAUAUUCGUAUCAUGUUACUGUUUUUUUGUUUUUUUUAUUUAUAUAUAUAUAUAUAUAUAUAUAUAUUAUAUUUACAAGUAUCUAAAUAUGAAUAUUUCUUUCUUUUUUUUUAUUCCUCUCAUUUGUUUAUUAUCAUUACUAUUUUUAACAUAAACUAAACCUAUGAUUAGUUUUCUUAGUAUUUAUUUUAUGUAUAUAUGUAUAUAUGUUCUUCUAAACUAUGUAUCUUUACUAUUUUUUUUAUUAUGACUAUCAUUGUUUUUUUAUUUUUUUGUUAUUUCUAUUCUUAUUCAUUUAUUGAUUUUUUUAGACCAAACCUAAGAACUCUCAUAAAUAUGAAUAUUGAUCCCAAUAUAUAUAUAUAUACAUAUUGUUUUUUUAUUUUUUUGUUAUUUCUAUUCUUAUUCAUUUAUUGAUUUUUUAGACCAAACCUAAGAACUCUCAUAAAUAUGAAUAUUGAUCCCAAUAUAUAUAUAUAUACUAUUACAACCAUUAUCAUCUCUUUUUAUUAUUUUUUUUGUUUGAAUAUUUGUUUUUAUUUAUUUUUUUAUCAAAUAUUUACUCAUAUUUUCAUUUACCACUUUAUAUUUUAUUGUUAUUUUUCUACUUUAAAAUAUCAUAUAAUCUCUACAUAAUAUCUUUUUUAUCUUAAUUAAAUUAUUCUUAUGCUCAUAAUAAUAUGUUUUAAACAUAAACAAUUGAGUCACCACAAUAAAUAAAAAAAAUAUUAUAGUAAAAAAGCAUGCAAGUUAGAUCUUACCUUAUGUAGAUUUAGAUUAGCUCAAAAAGAAUAGAAUUAUGUGGGCCAAGGCAAGCCACGUACAACAACUUGCUCUCCAAAAAAUGCCGUGAAGAGUCCCUUCUUGUUACAAAUCUCUACCUCAUUUCUCCUUUUUUUUUUUUCUUUCUUUCUCUCCCUUAUUUCCUUCUUCCUUUCCUUUCUCUCUCCCCGUCGACUUCUUCUUUCUUUUUCUUUUUUUUUCUUUUUUUUUUCUUCUCUUCCUCUCCUUUCCUUUCUCUCUCCCCGCUGGCUUCUUCUUUCUUUUUCCUCUUUCUUUCUCCUUCUCUUUCUCUCUUUUCUCCCUGCCGGCGUCACACCCUUCUCCUCUUCUCUCUUCCUCUUCUCUCUAUCGUCUUCUUCCUUUUUUUUUUUGCUCUAUUUUUUGUGUUUGAUUGUGGUUCUUCGGCUGCUAGAGACUUUUUGGUUUUUUGAAAACGUUUUUUUAUAUUGUUUUUUGGCUUUUUUUGGUUCUUCCUCUCUGAUUUUUUUUUAUUUUCCCACUUCCCCCGUUUUGCAGGUUGUCCAUCUUUUGAGGUCAGGUUGUCCAAAAAUUUGGACAACUCGGUAAUGGGGUUCUACACCAAAAAGUUGAUAGUCAAAACCCCCAUCAUUUAAGGUGGUUCCUUCUCUUUUUCUUUUUUAAUUAUUUUAUUUUAUACUUUAUUUUAUUAUAAUUUUUUAUUUUUUUGAGGUAUCUACUUAUGAUAGAUUAUUAGAUUGGACGGUUAAGAUAUAAUAUGUUAUGAGAAGCUUAGAUUUAUAUUAAAAUUUAAUAGAUUUGAAUUAGUAGAUUCACUUUUAUUUUUUUGUAAAUUUGAUAGGCUUAACAUAUUAGUUUAAAAUUUAUUUAUUGGGUUUAACUAGCAAUAUGGUAACCAUAAUAACUCUAAUUUUGCCAAACAGUAUGAAAAAUAAAACUAAUUAUUAAAUUAAAAAUUAUUUUGAGAGCUAUUAAAAAUAAAUAUAAUAAAUAAAUAUGUAUUGAAAAAAUAUAAUUAUUUCAUUCUAUCAAUUUGUAUGUAUAAUCUUAUUACUUAAAAUUUGUAACAUACGUACUAAAAUGUAUUGGUUAUUUUGAAUAAAAAAUAAUAUAUUGAUGAAAUUUUAAGUCACAAUACAAUACUGCAACGUAUAUUUAAAAAUUAUAUAAUAAUUUAUUUAUUUUUAAAAAUUAAAAUCAUAAAAAAUAAUAUCUAGAUAAUAGAAAAAAAAACAUGAAAAGUAGAAAAUAAAAUCCAUAUAUAAUAUAAUAAAAGAAAAAAAAUAUGAUUGUUGGUACGUUAAAAUUUGUGAAAGAAAAUUUAUAAAGAUUUAAAAUAUAUGAGAAGAACUAGGUUUCCCAGGUGAACGCUGCAUCAGGAGCAGGGAUAUCAUUCCGCAGUAGGGCAGUACCAGUAUACGUUUGUGAUUUAAGCUUUGAACCACUUUAAACUGAAAGGCUCUGACAGCAUAUCAAGAACCACCCGUUUUGGAUUGAGAAAUAAGGAUCCAAAAAUAGUUACCAUACAUUUAACAACUAUUAUCACAUCGCUGAUAAUUAAAUGCUAUAGUACAUUGAAUACCGUUACUGAAGACUAUUUAACAUUUUACCAUCUUGGACACUAAUAGCUGCACACUCCAGAAUAAGCUAUACUAACCUAGAAGCAGCUAGUCUUAUUAAGAACUUUAGGCACCACUCUGUAGUGAAUGAAGCAUUACUUGAAUUCCAUGUUGUGGCUGAAGCUUAAGUAUAGUAAAUGGAGAGUGAACAUAGGCUGGGGAGAGAGUAAAGGUGUAACGUUGUAGAAUCAUUGAGAGAGCAGUCUUUGUUUCGGUGGUUGCAAAGCUCAUACCCACGCAAGAUCGAGGUCCCAAUGAAAAAGGAAUGAAUGCAGCCGCAUUGUAUUUGGUAGCUUUGGCAGUCCCUUCUGCGAGCUUAUCUGGUUUGAAAAGAUUAAAUAGAUUGAUUAUAUUAUCAAUUGAAAAAAAAAUAUUAGAAAAAUUUGAUUAUAAAAAUUUAAUUAAAAAUUUUGCAUAUCAAAAAGUUAGAAGAAUAAAAUUUUAAUAAUUUUUUUUAAUUUCAAUAAAAAAACCUCAUUUGAUUAUUUUGCUUUAAAUUUUUGAACUUAUUGAGCCGCCUUUGGCCAUAUCAUUUUCAUAAUUCGUCAAGUUACUCUAUCAAGAUACAUUCCCAAUCCCCUAUGCUUUACAUCAUUUCUUUCAACCCAAAGAAACUAAGAAAUUACAUAUUAAAUGUAGCUGGUUUUGUCCAUACUGGUUAUCAGCGGAGUAAAGGGUUUUAAGGAAAAAUACCAAUUUAUCAUUAUAAGGUGAUUCAAUACUGAAUUGUGUCAGCUCAUGGAAUAUGACGGAAAAUAAGGCUAUGGCUUUUGUCAGCUCAUGAAGGAGUAAUAGCUACAUUGGCUGUAUCACCUGUGAAAAGGGCUGGUUUCUUCUGCCAGGCAUGAUCACAAGUUUGUCAAAUUGUGGAAGUGAUACGAUUGCUAGCAGAAUUCCCAAGUUUUAAUCCACAACAAUUGUUGGUUUGUAGCUGUUCAGCUUGCUUAAAGGUGUCCAUUUUGUGGUUUGUCCCAAUGCUCAAAGAUUUUUAUUCACCAUGCCAUGAGGUUAUUUGGUUCAUGAUCUUCACAAAAUGACUACAGGAAUUUAGAAGCUGAGAAGCCUUAGAUUGUUUACUAGGAGCGGAGCUGGGAUAUACCAGGGUUUAGUACUCAAAAGAAGAUAAUCUUGUUUCUUUGUUGCCAAUACAUGAAACCCCUAAUACUUGUAUCAUCAGAAAUGGCCGGUAAAUACAGUUAAAUGGAAGAAAAUAAUCAGAAACUGGUUAUCAUUAGUUUGUAAGAUUUCUUAAAAAAAACUGUACAAAUUUCCAGAAAUCAAAAGAGCAAAAUGAUGAACAAAAACAGAGUUGAGAGAAGAAACAAGUCUGUAUAUGGAUCAAAAUUGAUGAAAUAACGGCUGCUCAGAUGAAAGAGAAAGAAGGCCGUUGGACUACACAAACAAAGAGAGAACGAAAACGACGCGAUUGAAGGAAAGAAACAAACAUUGAACAAACGACACAACAAGUCGUCGUAUGCUCCUGUAAACAGAACAGACAAGAAACGACAGCCAAGGACACCGUUUAAGCACCCCCAACAAGCAAAUCAUAAAACGACACAGGUGACCCCCGUUUCACAAACUCAAAUCGAUGAAGGCAUAUGCGGCACCACUUUGCACAGCCCUGAACCCUUCUUCAACUUAUUUAAAUUCCAACUGCUUCCCGCCAUUAGUUAUUUAUAAUUAGUUAUUAUUUAUAAGUUUUUGCCAGUUCUGAUCAGGCGGGCUGGUCAAAAUUGUAAAGUAGUUGUAAAUACUUGCAAAGAUACCAUUGUUAGAGGUCUGGUUAUAUGUCAUGGCGCAUAUUUGAGAAUGGAGUUCAUGCUGAUUAAUCGUGUGCAAACUGUGAUGUCCACAUUUAUUGGAUUUUGAGAGGGCUAUGAACUCGACUGAAUGGCUUCUGUGUUCAGUAUAUAAACUGAAACAGGGGACUGUACUCCCCAACAAACUUGCUGGAAAUAAUUUUAUAGUUGCUUAACAGGGGAGAUCACCGUGAAAGCCUGUGCUGUUUAUACCAUUUAGUUUAGUUUUAGUAUGUGGUAAUCUUGAUGCUCCUUCUGCCUAAUGAGCAAGCCAGAGCUGGUUCCCGGGUUCACCUAGUCCUGUACUGUGUAUAAAGAGAAUUUUGAAUAUAAAUCAAUAGUAUGCCAUAAUUUAGUAUGAUUUCUUACCAUUUUAUUUAAUUUUUUCAGGGUAAAUUUAUAACUAAUGUCAAUCUUUACCAAUAAUGGAGCCAAGGUUUAUGCUCAAUCUGGGUAAAGUUAUUUCUCCUUCUGCAAGUCUCUCUGGUUUGAAAACAUGAACAUCUUCAACCAUAUCUCAGGGUCAUGGUGAAGUGCUGGAGUUGAAAUGAACAAUUCAGUAUUUUUCUUCUUGGAGAAUUUUGUUACAGAAAAAAAGAUGCCUGGACAAUCAUACGGAUCUCUAAUCAAGAUCUACAACAAUAUCAGAAUAUAAGAGGAAAUAGUACUCAGAGGAGCACCAUCUUCAUACUUGAUUGCUUAAACAUUUUGUUCCAAUAUCAUCAUUUACUAUUACAUGGAUAGAAACAAGGACAAAUUAAUCAACAUCACUGACUGGGGUGAGUUACUGGCUGCGGCCUCUGUAAGCAACUGAUCUACAAGGCAUUAUUCCAUUGACAACUCUAGGCUUCAUUCUACAGAGAAUGAAGUAUUACCUGAAUUCCAUGUUGUGGCUGAAGCAAAGGAAGGUAAUAUGGUGAGUGGCUGUAGGCUGGGCAAAGGGAAAUGGUGUAUCGCUGUAGAAUCAUGGAAAGAGCAAUCUUUGUUUCUGUAAUUGCAAAGCUCAUACCGACACAAGAUCGAGGUCCCAAUCCAAAGGGAACAUAUGCAGCUGCAUUAUGUUUGGUGGCAUUCGCGAUCCCUUCUGCGAAUCUCUCAGGUUUGAAUAGAUUGACAUCAUCUCCCCAUAACUGAGGGUCAUGGUGAAGUGCCAUGAUUGGGACAACCAAAUGUAAAUCAGCUGGCAGGAUGAGCUUUCCCAAUUGAACUUCUCGUCCAACUCUCCUUACGAUGCGAUUUAAAGGAGGAUACAACCGUAAAGUUUCAUUGAUGAUCAUGGUCAUCUGUUUACAGAUUAGAAAUCAAAGGUAUCAAAUUAUAAAUUCCCAGUUUAAUACCCUGAAUGCUCAUAACUAGUGUAUGCUAUUAAAGUGGUUAGAGCUUGAAAUUUGCUUACAGUUUUUAGUUUGGCAAUCCCUUCAGGAUGUGGAUCUUGAUUACCAAAUUCCUCAAUCAUUUCUCUUCUUGCUUUCUCUUGCCAAUCUGUAUGGAUUGCCAAAAGCAGGACUGUCCAUGCGAGCAAGGAAUUAGUUGUUUCUUGUCCAGUAAAGUAGAAUGUUUUACACUCAUCAACCAAAUCUUCUACGAAGAGCCUGUUUUUCUCGUCCAAGUCAUGAUGGGCAUUUAGAAGUAAUCCCAGAAAAUCACUGCCAAAGCUCUCAGCUUCUCCAGCCACUACUUUCUCUUCUCUUUUUUUAACAAUCUUCAGCACAGAAUCAUGUAUUUCUUUCGCAAGUUUCUCCGAUUCAAUUUCAUCAGCAUGUUUCCAGACGUAGCUACAAAAGCAAACCAAAGUCUGCCUUAUAUAUGGAAAAAUCUAGAAUAGAAAAAAAAAAUCCUCUCAGACCUACAGCUUUAUGCAUAGAAUAGAGCCUUCUGUUUAUUAUUCUCCAGAGUAAAGUUUAGAGGAACUUACCUGAUGCCAGGUAUCCUGGCUUUAUAAAGAUUUCUGAUCGCGAUUUCUGACAACUUCAUCAACGUCUCAAAAAUCUUCUCGCCCUCCAGGUAACUGCUACCAAAAGCUGUUCUGGAUAUCACUUCUGAAGUCAAUAAUCUAAAUUCCUGGAACACUUCGAUCUCCUUCCCUUCCCGGCCUUUCCACUUCUGUAGCAUUGUUUCAACGCUAGCAAUUACUGCUGGAGUCAUGUUCUGCCAAAACCAUCCUCCACUUUGUAAGCAUCACUAUAGGAAGAUCACCAAAAUUUUAGUUUGCAAAUGUUCAAGUACAAUCAAUAAUUCAAUCACCAAGCCUAUGACAGCAAAAACUUAUAGGACAGUGGUUUUCA
This 14271-nucleotide long non-coding RNA is filed under the name Theobroma cacao (cacao). RNAcentral describes it as "long non-coding RNA (TCAC_LNC001457)". The stretch from base 1944 to 2036 matches the Rfam family "Small nucleolar RNA snoR8a". The record is from RNAcentral. Lineage: Eukaryota; Viridiplantae; Streptophyta; Magnoliopsida; Malvales; Malvaceae.